GCACAAAACUCUACGCAGGACUCGAACCCACAAACGGACUGGGGAAAACAUGUCCUCCCUCUACCCAAGAGAAAUAUGCCUGUACAUGAUUCUUCAAACACAGAUUUCAUUUGCUAUUUUUCCUUGCCAAUGAUCUGAAUUCCUGAGAAGUCCAAGAACAAAACUGCCUUCGACCACGGUAAUAGUUGCUUAGGGAUCAUUGACCUUCAGUGCUUCUGUCGCUUAGAACCAUUUGGCAUAUUUGAUAUAAUUGUCGUGAAAGCAAGGUGAAUUUGAAGUGCCAGUCAAGAACAUUAGCAUAGCACGUUGAUCGUUCCCCCACCAUGUUCAGAUUGCAGCGAUUUCUCUCUGAAUUCAGGAUGUUUGGCAUUUGCAGUCUGUGGUUUGAUUUCACCAUGUGAAUUAAAAUGAAAACGCUUCACGUCACGUAAGCAACAGAUGUUCUAUGUGUGCAAAGUUGUGUAGUCUUGUAAUAACUAUCUUAAAUGUGAAAGAACUUCAAACGAUAAUAAUACUAGGUUAAUCCAAGAAGCAUUAGCAGUCUCCUCCUCACCCACCCUGAAAAGGGAAGCAUUUAUGUAACUAAUUAGUUUACCAUAGUAAAUAAUCCACUGACAUUUAUAAGAAGCAUUCCUAUUGGAGCCUCGAGUAAAUAUUAUGUUACAUGUUAAACUAUAAAUAGGAUGAAUUGUGGUCCCAGGCCCAGGUUUAAAAUGCUACGGAAAAUAAAUGAGCUCCAUCUGGGUAAAAUGGGUGUUACACGUCCUCCAUACACAAGUGUCCAAUUGCCCAGCUCGGGUUCCCUAUAGCUGUUGUGGAAACUUGACGAUUCAUCUCACUUUCCAGCGCAGCUCUGCAAGGUAGCUAAAAAAGAGUGAAUGUUUCUCUUGGGGGAAAAGAAAACAUAGAAGAGGAAAGAAAACAAAGUUUGUAACUGACUUAUGGAAGGCGAUUCUCUCUAGCUUUAAGUGAAUGGUGAAAACAGCAUUUCCUACAUAAGGCAAUUUUGAGUUUCUGCUUGCAGCUUAGAUGAUUUGAAAAGUUUAUGCAAGGAAAUCACGGUGCUCCAGAUCAUUUUAUUACACUUUAUCUUAGCCUCGAAGAUCUGUGCAUUUAGUGAUUUUCUUCAAAGCUGCACAUCAGGUAUAGCAAGAAUAAAGCCCAGGGUAGAAAAGUGGAUGAUGGAACAGGAUCUCUACAUAGAGAAAGCUUCUCAAGGCCAGAGAUUUAUGUGAAGCAUAAAGCUGGUGCUCCAUUUAAGGAAGGCCUAAUUAAGAGGGAGCGAGGAGGGGAAUAGAAAGGAGAACCAGUAUUUUUAGGGCUCACCCAGGCAUAGCCAAAGAAACAGCUGCCUUUCCAGAAUAUAAGAAAGCACUCACUUGCCCCAUUCCUGAAAUUCCUACCAUGAGAGCCAGACGUUCAAAUAAAAUCUUUCUCUGUU
Molecule: long non-coding RNA, 1441 nt
Organism: Herpailurus yagouaroundi (jaguarundi)
Lineage: Eukaryota; Metazoa; Chordata; Mammalia; Carnivora; Felidae
Exons: 2
Source: RefSeq, a predicted model, not a curated record